GCGUGGCUAGUCUAGUUGGUUAGGACCUGACCUUGCCAAGGUCAUAACGCGGGUUCGAAUCCCGCGCCACGCA
This 73-nucleotide transfer RNA is filed under the name Euryarchaeota archaeon RBG_19FT_COMBO_69_17. Its description in RNAcentral is "tRNA-Gly". It matches the Rfam family "tRNA". Rfam says of the family: Transfer RNA (tRNA) molecules are approximately 80 nucleotides in length. The record is from RNAcentral. Lineage: Archaea; Methanobacteriati; Methanobacteriota.